RNAcentral lists this ribosomal RNA (496 nucleotides) under uncultured bacterium. RNAcentral's name for it is "partial 16S ribosomal RNA". It matches the Rfam family "Bacterial small subunit ribosomal RNA", at positions 28 to 507 of the family's 1533-position model. The record is from RNAcentral.
GAUGAACGCUGGCGGCGUGCCUAAUACAUGCAAGUCGAGCGAACAGACGAGGAGCUUGCUCCUCUGACGUUAGCGGCGGACGGGUGAGUAACACGUGGAUAACCUACCUAUAAGACUGGGAUAACUUCGGGAAACCGGAGCUAAUACCGGAUAAUAUAUUGAACCGCAUGGUUCAAUAGUGAAAGACGGUUUUGCUGUCACUUAUAGAUGGAUCCGCGCCGCAUUAGCUAGUUGGUAAGGUAACGGCUUACCAAGGCAACGAUGCGUAGCCGACCUGAGAGGGUGAUCGGCCACACUGGAACUGAGACACGGUCCAGACUCCUACGGGAGGCAGCAGUAGGGAAUCUUCCGCAAUGGGCGAAAGCUUGACGGAGCAACGCCGCGUGAGUGAUGAAGGUCUGCGGAUCGUAAAACUCUGUUAUUAGGAAGAACAAAUGUGUAAGUAACUAUGCACGUCUUGACGGUACCUAAUCAGAAAGCCACGGCUAACUACGUG